AGACGUGUGCUCUUCCGAUCUGGGGGAUGCCUUGGCAUUGAGAGACGAUGAAGGGCGUGGAAGUCUGCGAAAUUCUUGGGGGAGUUGACAAACAAGCGAUGAUCCCGAGGUUCCCGAAUUGCCCCGGACUGAAUACAUAGGUCCGGACGUGAUAACCUGGUGAACUGAAACAUCUAAGUAACCAGAGGAAGAGAAAGAAAAAUCGAUUCCGUUAGUAGCGGCGAGCGAAAACGGAAUAGCCCAAACCAGAGAGGUUUCCUUUCUGGGGUUGUAGGACUUCAAUGUUGGAUUGUGUAUCGCUAGUGGAAGGCUCUGGAAAGGGUCGCCAUAGAGGGUGACAGCCCCGUACGCGAAAGUAGAUACACACCAUAGAAGCACCUGAGUAGGUCCAGUCACGUGAAACCUGGACUGAAUCCACGGGGACCAUCCCGUAAGGCUAAAUACUCCUCAAUGACCGAUAGCGAACCAGUAGCGUGAGUGAAUGGUGAGAAGAACCCCUGCUAGGGGAGGAAAGUGAACCUGAAACCAUGUGCCUACAAGCGGUCGGAGCCCUAUGGCGUUUACGUCACGGGUGACGGCGUGCCUUUUGCAUAAUGAUCCGGCGAGUUGUGGUAUGUGGCGUGGUUAAGUCCUGACGGGACGUAGCCCAAGGGAAACCGAGUCUGAAUAGGGCGACAAUUGUCAUAUGCUGCAGACGCGAAAGCUGUGUGAUCUACCCAUGGGCAGGUUGAAGCGUGGGUUAAACUGCGUGGAGGACCGAACCCACUUAGGUUGAAAACUGAGGGGAUGACCUGUGGGGAGGACUGAAAGUGUAAUCAAACCAGCAGAUAGCUCGUUCUCUCCGAAAUAUCUUGAGGGAUAGCGUCGAGCCACUAUUUACCGGGGGUAGAGAGACUGAAUCGGAUGGGGGCCCUUCCCGGGGUACCCCACCGAACCAAACUCCGAAUACCGGUAAAAUUAUCUCGGCAGUCAGUCCCUGGGGGAUAAGCUCCAGGGUCGAGAGGGAAACAACCCAGAUCGCCUGCUAAGGUCCCGAAGUAGUACUCAGUCACUAAGGAAGUUGAAGUGCCGUGACAGCUGGGAUGUUGGCUUAGAAGCAGCCACCAUUUAAAAAGUGCGUAACAGCUUACCAGUCGAGCAUUUCUGCGCCGAUAAUGAACGGGAGUAAGUACUACACCGAAGCAGCGGAUUCUAACCUUUUGGUUAGAGUGGUAGGAGAGCGUCGAAGACCAGAUACAAGCCAUACGGUAACGAGUGGUGUCGGGGUCUUCGAGUGAUUAUGCCGGAAUGAGUAACGAUAAAACAGGUGAGAAUCCUGUUCGCCGAAAGCCUAAGGUUUCCUGGGGAAGGUAAAUCCGCCCAGGGUUAGCCGGUACCUUAGUCGAGGCCGAAAGGCGUAGACGAUGGACAGAAGGUCAACAUUCCUUCGCCGGUUGUGUAUUCGAUGCAGGGACGGCGUCCAGAAAGUGAGCGGUACGAAUAGAAAUGUCCGUAGCGAAAGCCGAGUUGGCGGGGGUUAAAUUACUCGCAUAAUACAAGGCAUAGCUCGAGAGCACUUAAGUUCUCGAAGUCAUUGGAAGGACGUCCAAGAAAAGCUGCUAGGUUAAGCAACUGACCGUACUAAAACUGACACAGGUAGGCGAGAUGAGUAUUCUAAGGCGCUCGGGAGAACGGUGGUUAAGGAACUCUGCAAAAUGGCCCCGUAAGUUCGCGAUAAGGGGCGCCCCCGAUGGUUUACGCUGUUGGGGGCCACAGAAAAUCGGCUGUAUCGACUGUUUAUCAAAAACACAGGUCUCUGCUAACACGCAAGUGGAUGUAUAGAGACUGACGCCUGCCCGGUGUUGGUAGGUUAAGGAAGACGGUUAGCUCUUCGGAGCGAAGCUGGCGACCGAAGCCCCAAUAAACGGCGGCCCUAACUAUGAGGGUCCUAAGGUAGCGAAGUUCCUUGUCGGGUAAGUUCCGACCUGCAUGAAAGAGAUCGGAAGAGCACACGUCUGAACUCCAGUCACAAUACCUAUCUCG
This 2022-nucleotide ribosomal RNA is filed under the name seawater metagenome. Its description in RNAcentral is "bacterial LSU rRNA". It matches the Rfam family "Bacterial large subunit ribosomal RNA", at positions 1 to 2053 of the family's 2925-position model. The record is from RNAcentral.